Molecule: ribosomal RNA, 497 nt
Filed under: uncultured bacterium
Lineage: Bacteria
Description: partial 16S ribosomal RNA
Rfam family: Bacterial small subunit ribosomal RNA
Source: RNAcentral
GAUGAACGCUGGCGGCGUGCCUAAUACAUGCGAGUCGAGCGAACAGACGAGGAGCUUGCUCCUCUGACGUUAGCGGCGGACGGGUGAGUAACACGUGGAUAACCUACCUAUAAGACUGGGAUAACUUCGGGAAACCGGAGCUAAUACCGGAUAAUAUAAUGAACCGCAUGGUUCAAUAGUGAAAGACGGUUUUGCUGUCACUUAUAGAUGGAUCCGCGCCGCAUUAGCUAGUUGGUAAGGUAACGGCUUACCAAGGCAACGAUGCGUAGCCCACCUGAGAGGGUGAUCGGCCACACUGGAACUUAGACACGGUCCAGACUACUACGGGAGGCAGGAGUAGGGAAUCUUCCGCCAUGGGCGAAAGCCUGACGCAGCAACGCCGCGUGAGUGAUGAAGGUCUUCGGAUCGUAAAACUCUGUUAUUAGGGAAGAACAAAUGUGUAAGUAACUAUGCACGUCUUGACGGUACCUAAUCAGAAAGCCACGGCUAACUACGUG